RNAcentral lists this ribosomal RNA (405 nucleotides) under uncultured bacterium. RNAcentral describes it as "partial 16S ribosomal RNA". It matches the Rfam family "Bacterial small subunit ribosomal RNA", at positions 30 to 526 of the family's 1533-position model. The record is from RNAcentral.
AUUGACCGCUAGCGGGAUGCUUUACACAUGCCAGUCGAACGAGUGGCGGACGGGUGAGUAAUAUAUCGGAACGUGCCCAGUAGCGGGGGAUAGCUACUCGACAGAGUGGCUAAUACCGCUUACUAUUGGAGCGGACGCUAUCGGCUUAGCUAGUUGGUGGGGUAAAGGCUCACCAAGGCCACGAUCCGUAGCUGGUUUGCAAGGACGCCCAGCCAUACUGGGAGUGAGACACGGCCCAGAAUCGUACGGGAGGAAGAAGUGGGGAAUGUUGGACAAUGGGGGAACCCCUGAUCCAGCAGUCCCGCGUGUAUGAGAAGGCCUUCGGGUUGUAAAGUACUUUUGUCAGAGAAGCGGUAUCUGCAGAAUAAGCACCGGCUAACUACGUGCCAGCCGCCGCGGUAAUAC